CCUACGGGAGGCAGCAGGAGCGAAAAUUGCCCAAUCCCGACACGGGGAGGCAGUGACGAGAAAUAACAACUCUUGGUUAUUCUAAGAAGUGUAAUGAGGAUAAUUUAAAACCCUUACCGAAAGCAAUUGGAGGGCAAGUCUGGUGCCAGCAGCCGCGGUAAUUCCAGCUCCAAUAGCGUAUAUUAAAGUUGUUGCAGUUAAAAACGCUCGUAGUUGAAGUUCUGGCUGCUUGACCCUCGAGCUCUGUAGCCGAGGGCUCAGCAGUCAUCCGCUUGCAAACAUAUGUUCGCCUUUAACCGGGCGACUAUGUGAGUAAGCAUUUUACCUUGAGAAAAACCAGAGUGUUCCAGGCAGGUUUGUCCGGAAUGCAUUAGCAUGGAAUAAUAGAAUAUGACUGAAGUCGAUUUAUUGGUUUGAGGCUUUAGUAAUGAUUAAUAGGAACAGUCGGGGGUCAUUGGUACUUGACAGUCAGAGGUGAAAUUCUAGGAUUUGUCAAAGACUAACAAAUGCGAAAGCAUUUGCCAAGGAUGUUUUCAUUAAUCAAGAACGAAGUUAGGGGAUCAAGACGAUCAGAUACCGUCCUAGUCUUAACUAUAAACUUAUUACCGAUUCGGAUUCAGNNGAUNAGUAGUUNAGUUGGGACGUUAGGAGGAAUAACCGUAAGGUUUUGGGUUCCGUAAGGGGUAAGGUAAGGUGGUCCGGNGAAGGCUUAAGGAAACCGGUUAAAGGUUAAGGUUAAGGUUCCGGUUCCGGCCGGNGGAAGGUUAACCGGCCGGAACCGGAACCGGAACCGAACCGAACCGGAAGGGAAGGAAGG
Molecule: ribosomal RNA, 817 nt
Filed under: uncultured bacterium
Lineage: Bacteria
Description: bacterial SSU rRNA
Rfam family: Eukaryotic small subunit ribosomal RNA (bases 1-677)
Source: RNAcentral